UGCUCGCGUAAGGGAUUGCGGCGGCAUCCCACGCUUUUUAGCGUGGAUAGAGCCAAAAGCCCGACCCCAA
This 70-nucleotide unclassified non-coding RNA is filed under the name Flavobacterium xinjiangense. RNAcentral describes it as "Flavo-1 RNA". Lineage: Bacteria; Pseudomonadati; Bacteroidota; Flavobacteriia; Flavobacteriales; Flavobacteriaceae. The record is from RNAcentral.